This 439-nucleotide ribosomal RNA is filed under the name uncultured bacterium. RNAcentral's name for it is "partial 16S ribosomal RNA". It matches the Rfam family "Bacterial small subunit ribosomal RNA", at positions 338 to 795 of the family's 1533-position model. The record is from RNAcentral.
CCUACGGGAGGCAGCAGUGGGGGAUAUUGCACAAUGGAGGAAACUCUGAUGCAGCGACGCCGCGUGAGGGAAGACGGUCUUCGGAUUGUAAACCUCUGUCUUUGGGGAAGAAAAUGACGGUACCCAAAGAGGAAGCUCCGGCUAACUACGUUCCAGCAGCCGCGGUAAUACGCAGGGAGCGAGCGUUGUCCGGAAUUACUGGGUGUAAGGGGAGCGUAGUCGGGCGAGAAAGUUGAAUGUUAAUUCUACCGGCUUAACUGGUAGCUGCGUUCAACACUUCUUGUCUUGAGUGAAGUAGAGGCAGGCGGAAUUCCUAGUGUAGCGGUGAAAUGCGUAGAUAUUAGGAGGAACACCGGUGGCGAAGGCGGCCUGCUGGACUGUGACUGACGUUGAGGCCCGAAGGCGUGGGGAGCAAACAGGAUUAGAUACCCCAGUAGUC